Equus quagga is the source of this 1008-nucleotide long non-coding RNA. RefSeq lists it as uncharacterized. The transcript has 2 exons. The record is from RefSeq and is a predicted model, not a curated record. NCBI's taxonomy places the organism in Eukaryota, Metazoa, Chordata, Mammalia, Perissodactyla, Equidae.
CACGCUUCGGGCUGCGACGCCACCGCCGCUGGGCGGAGAGUUACCGCCAACCGCCUUAACGGCCGAAACAAUGUUAAUGGGUUUCGGAGUCGGUCGGCGCGUUCCCAUUAUCAGCUUCGUCUGCCCCUUCGUCGUUUUACGCGGAGUAGGUGGUCUCCAUAGUUACUUUUAAGUUUCAUAUGCCUCUCCUAACCUUUGUGAGGUAAAAGAAUCUCCGGCCUUUUACUCUUGGACAAGCGAGGAAAUGAAGAGGACAGGGGAAUUUAGUAAUAUGUAAACUGAGGGUUAGUUUGCUUUAAAAUCGAAUGGGGCUGCAAUUCAGAAAUUUUUUGAUCCGCUUCAUGGGCCUUGCUGUGGUUACAAGCACCGGCGUAACGAGGCAGGUGCAACAACCGCCGGGGAGCCUGGUGAGCGCCGGCCGCCUCGCCGUCCAGCCGCGUCCUCUCUGACGCCUGCAAAGUUUCCCACAACAUUUGGGAAGAUGUGCAAGGUAUACUCCAUUUAGGCAAAAAUAACUCCCAGCGAAGAGUCAUUGUCACAAGCAGUAAUUUUGUGCUGCAACUACAAGGUAAGAUUUUUUUAAAACACUUUUUAUAGUAAAUUCUGGCAAUGUAAACAUUUGAGAUCCAAUUCUUAUAAAUCUUUUAAAUUUUAUGUAGAAAAGUAGAAGAAAAAUAACUUCCAAAAAUGAAAAAUAAAUCCAUCCUAAAACAGUUUCUCAUACAACAUUCCCUACGUAAGCUCAAGUGACAGACUUUUAUUUGGGGUUUCCAACCCAAUGAAAAUGUAAAACUUCUGACACAUUUGUAUAUUGCUUUUCUUUUAAAACCUCGUUACCAUAUCUUCAUUGUUGAAGUUAUGAAUAUAGAGUACUUAUUUUAGCUAGCAAUAUUCUAUUAGUUUUAUUUACAGAUGCACUUGCAGCCUAUAUUCCAAAGUUGUGUUAAAUAUUCCACGUUGGUGGUGGGUUUCUUGGUCCUUUGGGUUUUGAAAAACGAUUUGCAAAAC